AGGGUUCGAUUAUGGCUCAGGAUGAACGCUAGCUACAGGCUUAACACAUGCAAGUCGAGGGGCAGCGGGAUUGAAGCUUGCUUCAAUUGCCGGCGACCGGCGCACGGGUGAGUAACGCGUAUCCAACCUUCCGUACACUCAGGGAUAGCCUUUCGAAAGAAAGAUUAAUACCUGAUGGUAUGAUGAGAUUGCAUGAUAGCAUCAUUAAAGAUUUAUCGGUGUACGAUGGGGAUGCGUUCCAUUAGGUAGUAGGCGGGGUAACGGCCCACCUAGCCAACGAUGGAUAGGGGUUCUGAGAGGAAGGUCCCCCACAUUGGAACUGAGACACGGUCCAA
This 335-nucleotide ribosomal RNA is filed under the name uncultured bacterium. RNAcentral's name for it is "bacterial SSU rRNA". It matches the Rfam family "Bacterial small subunit ribosomal RNA", at positions 8 to 334 of the family's 1533-position model. The record is from RNAcentral.